GGAUGAAGAAGAGGAGGAGAAGUGGUUGUGGUGGAGCGGCGCUGCCCGAAGCGCAGAGCCGCUCUCUGGGCUGCCGGGGCACUGCUCCAGGAGGAGCCUGCGGGCAGGGGCAGGCGGGGGAAGCGCCAGGGCAGCUUUCCUAGAGUGUCAUCUACAAUGGAGCUGUGAUGGAAGUGCUCUGGGAUUGUACUGCAGUCAGGAUCAGCAAUACUUCAGGCUGCUGCAGUGUUGUGCUUCUUAAUGCAAGGAUGUAUUUUCCAGAUAUGGAACACCUUUACUCUAUGCUGUAAUGCACAGAAAUACCACUAAGCAUGUAAACAGCUUUAACGGAAUUGCCUGGAUUUGGGGUGUUUGUUCUGAGGACGUGUCCAACGCCUUGGGCAAUGUGUGUAUUUGUCCCUGUCCUGACUUACUGAUAAGUCCUCUCAACCUUCACCUAAUUUCUGGCUUUGGAACAAACAGACAGCUUAAUAUUUCUGAGAGGAGAUUGUAUAUCUAGGGGCAGCAGCCAUGAUGUGUCCUAAGAGCAGGGGAAUCAUCGAGGAGGCAGCUUGCAGCACCAGGGAGGUCACUCUGGGUAAUAAAAAGACCUGGGAAGAAAAAUGCAGCCCAAACCUGCUGAGAGUUUGGAACUGCUUGUCUGUGUUUGCUUCUAGAGUUAUGAGACCACAAUGGCUACUCAACCUUGCAAUGCUGUGGGCAGGAUUUUAUGAGGAUGGGAGGUGGUCUGGAGCCCUUCUUGUGCUUGGUCCCUGUGCAUGGAGCUGCAUGUCAGUGAUGUGUCUCUGAUAAUCUGGCACCAGCUGGCCGGAAACCUUAGGCAGAAGCAUUGGGGUGGGAUUUAGGUUGCCCAAACACAUUACAAUGUGCCAAUUCCACCAUGAAGAAACGGCCCUGGCAUUAUUUGCAACAGGCAAAGCCAGUGGUAAAAUUCAGUGGCUGGUAAAAAUGCUACUGGCGUGGUUAGACAUGGGGUACAGUGUUGCUGAGAGGAAAAAAUAGAGUUGAAUUUUAUUAGUGAAAAUUUUAAUUGAAAUUUUUAAAACAGAAAAACAUGCAGAAAAAAAAUCCUCAAAUUCUUCCAUUUUGAUCCAUUCCCACCAAUACAAGAGAGGCUUCAGUGGGCAUGGAUCAAGAUGCAGACAAAAUAAUGUUCCUCUCAAACAGAAGCAAGCAAGAUUUUAAUUUCAACUUAACUACAUCAUUAUUCAUAAGAAGAGUUAAAACACCCUAAAAUACUUUUGGUACAGCCAGCUUACUUCAUGUCUGGCACUAACAAGGAGCCAAACAAGGUAAGAAAAGCCCUUCCAACAUGCACAGGAGAACUGCUCAUAAUGUUCUACUAGGAAGGGAAACUUAAGGGGGAGAUAAACAAAACUCUCUCCUCAGACACAGCAUCUGAGAAACCAUGAGCAAGAAGAGAACUGGGCUUGAAGAGAACUGUUGCUACAACCUAACAGAGAAGCUGGGGUGACACAAAAAAUUAAAUGCAUUCCCAUCCACUAGAAAGGAUUUCAAGUUACAGGUCAGAAACAAAGCCCUCUACUCUGAUGUCCCAAUCCCUGGAGAAGGUGAUGUGACUACAGACUCACAGUUUUCAUCCACAAAGGCAGCUCUCAGUUCAGCAUCAGAGGCAGCUGCCUGGGCAGGGUGAAGCUGAAGCAUUGCCCUGGGAAAAGCAGGACCAUCAAGACACUGUUCCCUGUCCAUGUCUUUCCUGUGUGCAUCUUCUAGCUGGGUGGCACGUGAUGGGGAGGAGGAGGAAGGACUCUUUUUGUGCUUAAAUUCAUCACUUUGAUGAAGCUGAGGGAGUGAGUCAUGUGUCCUUCAGCACCAUAAAUAGCAUCGCACUUUCUUCCUGUGAUCACCUGUGAAAAUUCGGCUCCCAUGUCCUUCAGGACAAAUUUACAGUAUGGGGCAAAGGUUGGAGGCAACAAUGUCUGGGUCUUUAAGCCGUCCAGACUUUAACUCCUGUGGUUCUCAUGUUUAUCAACCCUUGGUCACCUUGGGUUGAUAAUGGAUUGCUGGGAAAUAACUGAAUAUUCUUCUAAAGGUGAUGAGUUCUUUUCCCCCCGUGUAUUGCUGAUUUGUACUGUCAACCAUAACCUGCUAUGGAGCAAGACCUUUUAAAGUCCAUGCUUCAGCAACAAUGACUCACAAGCUGAUACAGAUCAGAUAAGCUGCAUCCUCAGUGCAGAACCAGUCCUAUUCUGUGCCCUGCAGAGCUGUAUCUGUCACAGUUUCAUAGACUUGGUGCUUCUUUUUGACCUCUGCCUGCAUUUCACACCUACUGGGGCACAAUAGGAAAACCAGGCAAGGAUGGAUGUCUCGGACAGUGCAGGCAUGAUCUGCAGUGAUCUGCAGUAAAUGUUCAUCUUCCAACAGAACUUCACUCUGCAAACAGCACAAGUCAUCCAUGACAAAGGAUUUAGAUGCAGGGCCGGUAGAAGCUGAGCUCAGGAUGUCAGCCUGGGUCAAACAUCACUAAUAUUAGAUGCUAAAAUCUACAACAGUAAAUUGUAUCAGUUUCCCAAGGGGAGAGAUAACCUAAGUACUUAAUCUCUUAUUACAUGUACUUAUUUUAUUGCAGGAUAACAAAGCACCAUGUUGACCUCCCAUACUACCACAGGGCAGUAAUUAAUAGCACAGUCAUUUAUAAAGUACUUGAUACAUAUUACUGUGCCUUUUUUGUUUUCCUAUCCACAUCUCCUCAAUCCCACUGUCCAUUGGUAGGUUGUUUUCCACUGGUACUUGUGUCAGGAAUGCAGAGGUGAAAAAUUGCACAAAGGCUGCAGCUACCAGGGUAGUCCCACUCCUGCACACCCAGGAUAGCAGUUUUGCUGGAAGGGUUCAUACAAACAUUCCAGUUAACUUUUCCCACCAAGAGUUUAUGAUAUGGGUUUUUUUGGCCCAAGCUAAUUAAUUGGUAUUCAGACAUACACUAAAUAAACCCAUCUUAAAACUCUAUCAUAGUAUAAUAAAUACCCUUCAAGUUGUCACAUAGCAUUUUUAAUUAGAGUGUGUGCUAUCACUGUGUAGAACAUGCAGCCUGCAAAAUUGUCUGGCCAUAAAAGCAGAUUUGCCAAGCUCCAAAAUGUUAACAAACCACCUUCCACUAAAAGCAGUGGUAAGAAGCCAUUCCAAUGCACUGGGAGCUCAGCAGCUGUCCGCAUGAGUGUCACAAGCAAGACACAGAGAAGCUCUAGCAGUGACCAAACCCCACCUGACUGUAGUAGUUUUCAUGUUUCAUUUUCCAUGGCAAUUUUCUUUCUCUUGAACUGCAGAUGCAGUAAGACUCUUGGAACCACACCAUGCCUUACCAGGGAAAAAAUCCAUUGCCUCUUACAAAAAAAAAAAAAUCCUACACAAGACUUAAGUGUGAAGACUGUUUUCACAAUUGGCUUUUCCAUGAACUAGGGUGUUCCUGAUUGACAGGUUUUUCUGUAAAAACAAAGCUGAAAUUUUUUCUUUCAGUUAUAUACCUCCAUGUCUAGUUUACCUGAAAUCAUCAUGGCAGGGGCAACUAAUCAAUUUAUAUUAAUAAAGCUGAGUAAUACAGGA
Passer montanus (Eurasian tree sparrow) is the source of this 3561-nucleotide long non-coding RNA. RefSeq lists it as uncharacterized. The record is from RefSeq and is a predicted model, not a curated record. NCBI's taxonomy places the organism in Eukaryota, Metazoa, Chordata, Aves, Passeriformes, Passeridae. The transcript has 4 exons.